CGGAAGUAAAAGUCGUAACAAGGUUUCCGUAGGUGAACCUGCGGAAGGAUCAUUAAAAAAUUGGACUCCAUUGGUGAGUUCACUAAUAAUCCCUACCUUUGUGAAUUUGUUUGUUUGAAUAAUUUUUUUUCCAAAAAAAAUUAUUGAAUGUCUUUCCUUGUUUUGGUGGAGCUUGUAAAGUGAAACCAGGCAGGGGAAUGGCAAACAAUAAUUAUUUUUGAAAAAGACCUUUUUUUAAAAUUAAACUUUUUGUAUUCAUUUGUCUAAAAUUAAUUUUAUAAUAUAAAAACAACUUUUGACAAUGGAUCUCUUGGUUCUCGCAACGAUGAAGAACGCAGCAAAAUGCGAUAAGUAGUGUGAAUUGCAGAAUACGUGAAUCAUCGAAUCUUCGAACGCAUAUUGCACUUUUUUAGUUUACUAAAAAAGCAUGUCUGUUUGAGUAUCAGUAAAAUAUUCUCAUAAAAACAUUGUUUUUUUUAUGGUUAUGAGUGUUUUACAACGAUAACAAGUUGUUUCACUUUAAAUUCUUUGUUAUCAAAAAAAUCAUUAAAAGCUAAUUUUAAAGAUUUUUAAAAUUGGAUAAAAUUUUCCCGUAAAAAGGAAUAACCUAAACAAUUUUAAAAAAUUAAAAUUGGUUUGAUUUUUUUGAAACCCAAAGGAAAAAAAACGAAAUUAACUCGAUCUCAAAUCAGAUAAGAGUACCCGCUGAACUUAAGCAUAUCAAUAAGCGGAGGAAAAGAAACUAACUAGGAUUCCCUCAGUGACGGCGAGUGAAGCGGGAAGAGCUCAAAUUUGAAAUCUUCAAGGUUUUACCUUGACGAAUUGUAGUUUAAAGAAGCGUUUCUGUUGGAGUUUUGGUAAAAGUUCUUUGGAAAAGGACAUCAUAGAGGGUGAGAAUCCCGUAUUUGACCAUUAUCUCCAGCUUUGUGAUACACUUUCAAAGAGUCGGAUUGUUUGGGAAUGCAGUCCAAAAUGGGUGGUAAAUUUCAUCUAAAGCUAAAUACUGGCGAGAGACCGAUAGCGAACAAGUACCGUGAGGGAAAGAUGAAAAGAACUUUGAAAAGAGAGUUAAACAGUACGUGAAAUUGUCAAAAGGGAAGCGUUUGACACCAGUGUUGUUUUCUCGAAAAUCAAUUAAAAAAGGCCGGAUUUUGUGUUGUAUUGACUUUAUCAGCUUUCUGCACUCUUUUCUUGUCUUUUUUAAUGCACUUUUCGUUUAACAAGUCAACAUCAAUUUCUUUUGUUGUAAAAGGGUCAUUGGAAGGUGGCUUUCUUUUCGGAGAAAGUGUUUAUAGCCUUUGGCCUCUGCAAUCGGAGAGAUUGAGGUCUGCAGCGUAGAUCCUUCGGGGUUAGAUACAUUUGUGCUAAGUUAUAGCCUUUCAUAGACAACUUGUGACUAUGAUCAGUCAUGUAGCUUACUCGCUUAUGCUAUUUUACCUACGCUUAGGAUGUUGAGU
RNAcentral lists this unclassified non-coding RNA (1457 nucleotides) under uncultured Neocallimastigales. Its description in RNAcentral is "partial contains small subunit ribosomal RNA, internal transcribed spacer 1, 5.8S ribosomal RNA, internal transcribed spacer 2, and large subunit ribosomal RNA". The stretch from base 679 to 1457 matches the Rfam family "Eukaryotic large subunit ribosomal RNA", at positions 1 to 631 of the family's 3401-position model. The record is from RNAcentral. Lineage: Eukaryota; Fungi; Neocallimastigomycota; Neocallimastigomycetes; Neocallimastigales.